GCCUCGGUCGUCUAAGUUGGUAAGACAUCGCACUUGUAAUGCGACAACGUAGGUUCGACUCCCACCGGAGGCUC
Molecule: transfer RNA, 74 nt
Filed under: Gimesia alba
Lineage: Bacteria; Pseudomonadati; Planctomycetota; Planctomycetia; Planctomycetales; Planctomycetaceae
Description: Planctomycetes bacterium Pan241w tRNA-Thr
Rfam family: tRNA
About the family: Transfer RNA (tRNA) molecules are approximately 80 nucleotides in length.
Source: RNAcentral